RNAcentral lists this long non-coding RNA (420 nucleotides) under Ictidomys tridecemlineatus (thirteen-lined ground squirrel). RNAcentral's name for it is "lncRNA (ENSSTOG00000030703.1)". Lineage: Eukaryota; Metazoa; Chordata; Mammalia; Rodentia; Sciuridae. The record is from RNAcentral.
UUUGGCAAGCCAUAAUGAACUGCUCCUUUCCCAGGUACAAACGUAUCUACUGUAAACCGGAAUACUUCAAGGUCCCACCACACUCUGAAUACCCCCAGAUUUAUGCCUCUCUGAGAGCUGCUGCCUCCUGCACAAGCACCAGGACAUCUGCCCUUCUGUUGGACACUGCCACCAAAAUUCUGGAACACACACAGGCCAACAUUUCUCAGUGGUUUGUGAAACAGUGGAGAAGAAUGCCUUUGCAUUUACAUUUACACUUUGCAUUAGAUGUUGGCAAAUCAAUAAUGGCUAGCUCUUCAAAGAGGCUUGGGUUCAUAUAUGAAUACACGACUAGUGUAACUUCACAACAUGUACAACCAUAAGAAUGGGAAGUUAUAAUCCAAGUAUAUGUCAAAAUACAUUCUACUGUCAUGUAUAGCU